Molecule: non-coding RNA, 164 nt
Organism: Sus scrofa (pig)
Lineage: Eukaryota; Metazoa; Chordata; Mammalia; Artiodactyla; Suidae
Source: Rfam
GUACUUACCUGGCAGGGGAGAUGCCAUGAUCAGGAAGGUGGUUUUCCCCGAGUGAGGCUUAUGCAUUGCACUCUGGAUGUGCUGACCCCUGCAAUUUCCCCAAAUGUGGGACACUCGACCCCUGAGUUUGUCCUGGUGGGGGACUGCUUUUGCGUUCUCUUCCA